UGUUUGGUGUUUACACUAGACUGAUGAGUUGCGAACGGGUGAGUAACGCGUAGGUAACCUGCCUCAUAGCGGGGGAUAACUAUUGGAAACGAUAGCUAAUACCGCAUAAGAGUGAUUAACACAUGUUAGUUAUUUAAAAGGAGCAAUUGCUUCACUGUGAGAUGGACCUGCGUUGUAUUAGCUAGUUGGUGAGGUAAAGGCUCACCAAGGCGACGAUACAUAGCCGACCUGAGAGGGUGAUCGGCCACACUGGGACUGAGACACGGCCCAGACUCCUACGGGAGGCAGCAGUAGGGAAUCUUCGGCAAUGGACGGAAGUCUGACCGAGCAACGCCGCGUGAGUGAAGAAGGUUUUCGGAUCGUAAAGCUCUGUUGUUAGAGAAGAACGUUGGUAGGAGUGGAAAAUCUACCAAGUGACGGUAACUAACCAGAAAGGGACGGCUAACUACGUGCCAGCAGCCGCGGUAAUACGUAGGUCCCGAGCGUUGUCCGGAUUUAUUGGGCGUAAAGCGAGCGCAGGCGGUUCUUUAAGUCUGAAGUUAAAGGCAGUGGCUUAACCAUUGUACGCUUUGGAAACUGGAGGACUUGAGUGCAGAAGGGGAGAGUGGAAUUCCAUGUGUAGCGGUGAAAUGCGUAGAUAUAUGGAGGAACACCGGUGGCGAAAGCGGCUCUCUGGUCUG
Molecule: ribosomal RNA, 680 nt
Filed under: Streptococcus agalactiae
Lineage: Bacteria; Bacillati; Bacillota; Bacilli; Lactobacillales; Streptococcaceae
Description: bacterial SSU rRNA
Rfam family: Bacterial small subunit ribosomal RNA
Source: RNAcentral